Molecule: ribosomal RNA, 254 nt
Filed under: uncultured bacterium
Lineage: Bacteria
Description: partial 16S ribosomal RNA
Rfam family: Bacterial small subunit ribosomal RNA
Source: RNAcentral
UACGUAGGGUGCAAGCGUUGUCCGGAAUUAUUGGGCGUAAAGAGCUCGUAGGCGGUUUGUUGCGUCGGCUGUGAAAUCCCGAGGCUCAACCUCGGGUCUGCAGUCGAUACGAGCAAACUAGAGUGUUGCAGGGGAGACUGGAAUUCCUGGUGUAGCGGUGAAAUGCGCAGAUAUCAGGAGGAACACCGGUGGCGAAGGCGGGUCUCUGGGCCGUAACUGACGCUGGAGGAGCGAAAGCGUGGGGAGCGAACAGG